Long non-coding RNA from Daphnia magna, 1970 nucleotides. RefSeq lists it as uncharacterized. Lineage: Eukaryota; Metazoa; Arthropoda; Branchiopoda; Diplostraca; Daphniidae. The record is from RefSeq and is a predicted model, not a curated record. The transcript is spliced from 2 exons.
UGCCCAUCAAAUCCGCCCAGCUACCCACUUUGGCAAAUAGACUACCCGGAUCGCUCAUGGGCGACUUUUUUGGGCGACGAACCGUGGGUAAACCGGGUUUUCGAGAACCGGGGCCGAGCCCUACCCACCACUUCAUUAUUCGGCGAAAACCACAAUUUUCAUAAAAUGUGGCAGUGGUGUUUGUGUCCCCUCUCCCCUUCUCUCUAUCUUAGGUUGUCUGCUAUGUGCUGUCAAUAUUUAUUAAUUUUAUAAUUUAUACGCUGUCGAUUCUCGAUUCAGUGUGCCCAACUGAUUACUGCAUCAGUCUUCAAGAAAAAUGGUGGACAAGGGAAAAUGAAAAAAAAAAUAAUAACGUCUGCUAGUUUUUUUAAAAUUAUUCGUGAAUGCUUUGUCAUAUAACAAUUGUAUUCGGCAAAGAAAAAGGGGUUGGGUCGUCUGCUUCGGUUCUGGUUCUACCAUGCUCUAGGACCAUGGUAGAACUCGGCCAUAUAGAUUGGCGGUUGAAGUUGAACCUCAACCAAGGGGGGAAAUAUCAGUUGUCGCCAAAACAUUGGUUCAGUUCAACCAGGUUGACACAAAAAUGCGGUUGAUCGCAACUCAACCUCAUUCCUGAUCAACCAGGUAGACGCCAAAACGCGCCUUAAAUAGCAGAGCGAUAAGAAGACGAUUAUUUUACAAUCUACGCAUGGAAAUAGAUGGCAAAGUCUUGGUUUACUGAAAUUUGAAUACACAGCUCGAUUAGGGAGAACGUCUGAAAAUAGCGUUUGACCUAAUUUCGAAAUUUAAAGCUUUAAAAAACUUCUUGGAGAUGCAGGGUAUCGAUCCCCGUACUUCUCGCAUGCUAAGCGAGCGCUCUACCAUCUGAGCUACAUCCCCUGUAAUAUUCAAUCAAUUUUAAAAAAUUUAAGCCGCGGACGGUUUUGCUCUAAUUCGAGAAUCCGGUUAAGCCAAUAAAUUCAAGAUUUCUCUACUGGAAAGGCAACAAAAUUAAGAAAUAAACCAGAAAAAUUCGAAGCAAAAAAGUUUCUCAAAUUUCUGCUUAAUUUAAAACAUACCGCGACUUAGUGAGAACAACAAAGAAGAAUUUGAAAUUCAAUUGAAUUUUAAUUUAGAAUGACUACAAUAAAAUUUAAUUGGAGAUGCAGGGUAUCGAUCCCCGUACUUCUCGCAUGCUAAGCGAGCGCUCUACCAUCUGAGCUACAUCCCCUGAAAAAUCAAAUCAAUUAAAAAAAGUAUAAGCCGCGGACGGCUUUGUUCUAAUUCGUGAACCGGUCAAGCCAAUAAAUCAUAAUUUCACUCCUCGUAGGGCAACAAAAAUAAGAAAUACACCUGCAAGAUUCGAUUCAAAUGGUUUCAAUAUUUUUGCCUAACAUAAAACAUACCUUGACUUAGUGGGGGCAAAAAAUAAUAUAAUGAAUUUUAUAGGAUUUCGAUUUAAAGUAGUAACAACAAAAUUUAAUUGGAGAUGCAGGGUAUCGAUCCCCGUACUUCUCGCAUGCUAAGCGAGCGCUCUACCAUCUGAGCUACAUCCCCGUAUUAUCAGUUUUCUAAUUUAACAUAAUUAAAUUUUUGACAUUUGAUAGAAUCAGACGUCACGAUGGAUAUGCAAUUCCCCGCUUUCCAAUUCAGCUAAAAAAAAAGAUGAAAACCUACAUCGGUUAUAGACUAAUUAUAUCCCAGGCUAUCACAGAGUAGUACAGCACGGAAACGAAAACCUUGCUCAAUUAUUUUUGGGCACUGUCCACGACAAUCCCUGACAUGUGACCUGAAUGCCUUAGCCGCUAAUAUAAAAAAAAAACUUUUUGGAGAUGCAGGGUAUCGAUCCCCGUACUUCUCGCAUGCUAAGCGAGCGCUCUACCAUCUGAGCUACAUCCCCUCGUACAAAACAUUAACAAUAAAAAAAAAAAAUAGCCAUAAAAAAAUAGCAAAUGGGGAUCCCGACAUCCACGUGAAGCGUCAGAAUUUAAAAA